UAAUAAAAACAUUUCCAAAAGUUAUUUUUGGUAAGUUCUGCCCUAUGCGUUAAGUAAAUGGCCAUUUUUAUGCUAAGGUAGCAUAACUACUUGCUUCUUAAAUAGAUGACUGUCUGAAAGAGCUAAUUGUGAGAGAUUUUUUGUUUGUUAAAAAUUGAACUUUAUAAAUUGUCAAAAUUCAAUUUUUUAAUAAAAGACGAGAAGACCCCAGAAUUUACUACUGGUAAAGUGUUUAAUGGGGCGUUAUCUUUUAAUUCAAAAGAUUUUUGAUUUGAUGAACAAAAAAUUACUCUGGGGGUAACAGGGUGAUCUAAACUAAAGUUCUUAUUAAAGUUUAGGAUUACUACCUCGAUGUUGAAUUAAGCUAAAUUUUUGGAGCAAAAAAUGAAAUUAUGGGCCUGUUCGGCCUUUAUAAGCUUACAUGAUUUGAGUU
This 433-nucleotide ribosomal RNA is filed under the name Dolichomacrostomum uniporum. RNAcentral describes it as "partial 16S ribosomal RNA". It matches the Rfam family "Bacterial large subunit ribosomal RNA", at positions 1805 to 2611 of the family's 2925-position model. Lineage: Eukaryota; Metazoa; Platyhelminthes; Dolichomicrostomida; Dolichomacrostomidae. The record is from RNAcentral.